This 500-nucleotide ribosomal RNA is filed under the name uncultured bacterium. RNAcentral describes it as "partial 16S ribosomal RNA". It matches the Rfam family "Bacterial small subunit ribosomal RNA", at positions 30 to 523 of the family's 1533-position model. The record is from RNAcentral.
AUUGAACGCUGGCGGCAUGCCUUACACAUGCAAGUCGAACGGCAGCACGGGAGCAAUCCUGGUGGCGAGUGGCGAACGGGUGAGUAAAGUAUCGGAACGUGCCCAGUCGUGGGGGAUAACGUAGCGAAAGUUACGCUAAUACCGCAUACGAUCUAUGGAUGAAAGCGGGGGAUCGCAGGACCUCGCGCGAUUGGAGCGGCCGAUAUCAGAUUAGGUAGUUGGUGGGGUAAAGGCUCACCAAGCCGACGGUCUGUAGCUGGUCUGAGAGGACGACCAGCCACACUGGGACUGAGACACGGCCCAGACUUCUACGGGAGGCAGCAGUGGGGAAUUUUGGACAAUGGGCGCAAGCCUGAUCCAGCCAUGCCGCGUGCAGGAUGAAGGCCUUCGGGUUGUAAACCGCUUUUGUACGGAACGAAAAGGUUUGGCUCAAUACGUUGAACUCAUGACGGUACCGUAAGAAUAAGCACCGGCUAACUACGUGCCAGCCGCCGCAGUAA